This is a small nucleolar RNA of Pteropus vampyrus (large flying fox), 67 nucleotides long. Lineage: Eukaryota; Metazoa; Chordata; Mammalia; Chiroptera; Pteropodidae. The record is from Ensembl.
UGGACCAGUGAUGACAGCUGGUGGCAAAAGACGAUGAAUAAUAUGUGUCUGGAAUUCUAAGGUCCAA